GCUUCCGGUGGCGCACGGCGUUCGGGUGCACCGGCCGCUUCGGGUGCCCGCCGGUCGGGCUCCGGCUCGAGCGGUGGCGC
Molecule: transfer RNA, 80 nt
Filed under: Amycolatopsis sp. NBRC 101858
Lineage: Bacteria; Bacillati; Actinomycetota; Actinomycetes; Pseudonocardiales; Pseudonocardiaceae
Description: tRNA-Arg
Source: RNAcentral